UGUGCAUGUGGUUUUGUUUCUUCAUCGGCUGCCCCUGCUGCUGUGCUCGUUCGUUGCUUCUGCCAGAGUGGCAACGUCGCCUGAAAUUUUCUAUCGUUGUUAGUGAAUAACUUCGAUACGUAGGGAUAUCACGAUGCAGGAAGCGAACAAAGCUGCUUUUAGAAGAGUUCCCCACUCCACUGGCAAGCGAGGGGAUUGCUGCGUUGGAAUCUCGCGCAGCUCCACCACUGUUGACUUUGAAAGAAGGGGUGGCCUUGAUUUGGAUCGCACGGCGUGAAGAUGACUCGGCCGGAACAGUCAUUUUGAAUUGCAGAGAUUCGCCAGACCGUCGCUGCGGUAGAUGCGAGCUGCUGUAGCCUGCUUUCUCGGAUGAGAGACGGGGUGAAUUAGAUUCCAGUUAAUUAAGUGUCAACGAGACGAGAGAGCGUUGCAUUACUUCCGACCGAUGCCCAAAAUAUCCUGCGUUUAAACGGCUCUGCAAAUCCACGCAUUCCUCUCGAACAUGAGUUGUACAAUGGGUUCCAAAUGCUAUUCAAUUCAGCCGGCUACUCCUUCAUCAAUCUAAAUUUGAUAAUCCUUGAGCACGGACAUGCUAUUGUCGAAAGUUUUCACAUGUCUACGCAAGGGUUCAGCUCGAUCAAAGCGAACUUGCCAGAUUUGCUUCACACUCCAGCAGAAGGCACAACAAUGGCGUGUGCACCCCCUCUCCUUAGAGUAGAGAUGAACCUCUUGGAGCUAACCAUGAUGAAGCUCGACUGUCAGCCAAAACCAGAAAAAUAUCGCAGGUCCGUUGCUAACUCAUCAGAUGAUGAGCAGGAAAGACUCGAGAUAACACCGGAGAACUUCCGCUUGUCCUCAACUCUGCUAAUCGGAUGUAACCAUACUAGUGAAGGAGGUGCCACAACCGAAGGUUUCGGAGAGAAGUUGGGCGUAACCGUCAACGGAUUCCCUGCUUCUACGAAAGUCCUACCAACGGGAACUUCGUCACUCUUCCGUCGAGAUUCGUUAUAGGAUCGGACAACGAACGAGAAGACUUUUUUCGUUCGCUUUUCGAUGCAAGCAGCUCCACAGAAGUCCCCAUUUCUCAGUUGGUGGGAUUGCUUAAACAUUUACGCAUGUGUGUAUAUAUAUUGGUAAUUGUGGGUGAAUUAUUGCUGUUAAAAACUAUGCUAGCUUUUUUACACUUUUAAUACAUUUCUAGUCCUUAUAACCUUAUUUUCUGAAUUAUUUAUUUGUCUUCUAAUAUUUUAACACGAGAAUUUA
Non-coding RNA from Physcomitrium patens, 1263 nucleotides. NCBI's taxonomy places the organism in Eukaryota, Viridiplantae, Streptophyta, Bryopsida, Funariales, Funariaceae. The record is from RefSeq and is a predicted model, not a curated record.